This 378-nucleotide RNase P RNA is filed under the name Actinobacillus delphinicola. RNAcentral's name for it is "Bacterial RNase P class A". It matches the Rfam family "Bacterial RNase P class A". From Rfam's summary of the family: Ribonuclease P (RNase P) is a ubiquitous endoribonuclease, found in archaea, bacteria and eukarya as well as chloroplasts and mitochondria. Its best characterised activity is the generation of mature 5'-ends of tRNAs by cleaving the 5'-leader elements of precursor-tRNAs. Cellular RNase Ps are ribonucleoproteins. Lineage: Bacteria; Pseudomonadati; Pseudomonadota; Gammaproteobacteria; Pasteurellales; Pasteurellaceae. The record is from Rfam by way of RNAcentral.
AGAGUUGGUUAGACAAUCGCUGGUUUAUUGAAGUCCUUAAUUGUUUUUAACAAACAAGUGAGACAAAUAAACGAGAGGAAAGUCCGAGCUACACAGGGCAGAGUGCCAGAUAACGUCUGGGGGGCGUGAGCCCACGACCAGUGCAACAGAGAGCAGACCGCCUUCUUUUGAAGGUAAGGGUGAAAGGGUGCGGUAAGAGCGCACCGUGCCACAGGUAACUGAUGGCAGCAUGGUAAACUCCACUCGUAGCAAGACCAAAUAGGUUCGCAAUUGCUGGCCCGGCAAGCGAACGGGUAGGUUGCUUGAGCGUUAGUGUGAAUUAACGCCUAGAGGAAUGAUUGUCCACGACAGAACUCGGCUUAUCGACCAACUCGCAUU